UUUUUGAGAAUAAUUUAAGGUCUAACCUGCCCACUGAAACAUUAAAGGGCCGCAGUAUUUUGACUGUGCAAAGGUAGCAUAAUCAUUUGUCUUUUAAUUAAGGACUAGAAUGAAUGGUUGGAUGAAAUAUUAACUGUCUCAUUUUUAAAAAAAUAAAAAUUUAUUUUUUUAGUUAAAAAACUAAAAUAAAUUUAAAAGACGAGAAGACCCUAUAGAUCUUAAUAAUUAAUAUUUAUAUAAAAAUUAGUUUUAAAUAUAUUAUAUAAUUUAUUAUUAUUUUGUUGGGGUGACAAAAAAAUUCAAUUAACUUUUUUUAAAAUAAACCAAUAAUAUUUGAAUAUUUGAUCCAGUAAUAUUGAUAAUAAAAUUAAGUUACCUUAGGGAUAACAGCGUAAUUUUUUUAGAGAGUUCUUAUCGAAAAAAAAGAUUGCGACCUCGAUGUUGAAUUAAAGAUUAUUUUUAAAUGUAGCUGUUUAAAGUUUAGGUCUGUUCGACCUUUAAAUCUUU
This 507-nucleotide ribosomal RNA is filed under the name Silveira jordani. RNAcentral's name for it is "partial 16S ribosomal RNA". The stretch from base 383 to 507 matches the Rfam family "Bacterial large subunit ribosomal RNA", at positions 2473 to 2597 of the family's 2925-position model. The record is from RNAcentral. Lineage: Eukaryota; Metazoa; Arthropoda; Insecta; Neuroptera; Psychopsidae.